GUCCACGCCCUAAACGUUGAUUACUCGCUGUUGGCGAUACACUGUCAGCGGCUAAGCGAAAGCGUUAAGUAAUCCACCUGGGAAGUACGUCCGCAAGGAUGAAACUCAAAGGAAUUGACGGGGGCCCGCACAAGCGGAGGAGCAUGUGGUUUAAUUCGAUGAUACGCGAGGAACCUUACCUGGGCUUAAAUGUCAUUUGACCGGUGCCGAAAGGUGCCCUCCCUUCGGGGCAAAUGGCAAGGUGCUGCAUGGCUGUCGU
This 259-nucleotide ribosomal RNA is filed under the name uncultured bacterium. RNAcentral describes it as "partial 16S ribosomal RNA". It matches the Rfam family "Bacterial small subunit ribosomal RNA", at positions 793 to 1055 of the family's 1533-position model. The record is from RNAcentral.